Molecule: ribosomal RNA, 465 nt
Filed under: uncultured bacterium
Lineage: Bacteria
Description: partial 16S ribosomal RNA
Rfam family: Bacterial small subunit ribosomal RNA
Source: RNAcentral
GACGAACGCUGGCGGCGUGCUUAACACAUGCAAGUCGAACGGAAAGGCCCUGCUUGCAGGGUACUCGAGUGGCGAACGGGUGAGUAACACGUGGGUGAUCUGCCCUGCACUUCGGGAUCAGCCUGGGAAACUGGGUCUAAUACCGGAUAGGAGCCAUUCUUAGUGUGAUGGUUGGAAAGUUUUUUCGGUGUAGGAUGAGCUCGCGGCCUAUCAGCUUGUUGGUGGGGUAAUGGCCUACCAAGGCGGCGACGGGUAGCCGGCCUGGGAGGGUGGACGGGCACAUUGGGGCUGGGGUACGGCCCAGACUCCUACGGGGGGCAGCAGGGGGGAAUAUUGCACAAUGGGCGCAAGCCUGGAGCAGCGACGCCGCGGGGGGGAUGACGGGCUUCGGGUUGGAAACUCCUUUCGAUAGGGACGAAGCUUUUUGUGACGGUACCUAGAGAAGAAGCACCGGCUAACUACGUG